Molecule: non-coding RNA, 72 nt
Organism: Araneus ventricosus
Lineage: Eukaryota; Metazoa; Arthropoda; Arachnida; Araneae; Araneidae
Source: the annotation of a GenBank genome assembly
CGAGCCCACCAGGAUUCGAACCUGGACUUCCGUGAUACAAAUAUAGCACGUUAUGCUUUUCGCCACGGUCUC